This 670-nucleotide ribosomal RNA is filed under the name uncultured bacterium. RNAcentral describes it as "bacterial SSU rRNA". It matches the Rfam family "Bacterial small subunit ribosomal RNA", at positions 94 to 760 of the family's 1533-position model. The record is from RNAcentral.
AGCGGCGGACGGGUGAGUAAUGCCUAGGAAUCUGCCUGGUAGUGGGGGACAACGUUUCGAAAGGAACGCUAAUACCGCAUACGUCCUACGGGAGAAAGCAGGGGACCUUCGGGCCUUGCGCUAUCAGAUGAGCCUAGGUCGGAUUAGCUAGUUGGUGAGGUAAAGGCUCACCAAGGCGACGAUCCGUAACUGGUCUGAGAGGAUGAUCAGUCACACUGGAACUGAGACACGGUCCAGACUCCUACGGGAGGCAGCAGUGGGGAAUAUUGGACAAUGGGCGAAAGCCUGAUCCAGCCAUGCCGCGUGUGUGAAGAAGGUCUUCGGAUUGUAAAGCACUUUAAGUUGGGAGGAAGGGCAGUAAGUUAAUACCUUGCUGUUUUGACGUUACCGACAGAAUAAGCACCGGCUAACUUCGUGCCAGCAGCCGCGGUAAUACGAAGGGUGCAAGCGUUAAUCGGAAUUACUGGGCGUAAAGCGCGCGUAGGUGGUUCGUUAAGUUGGAUGUGAAAGCCCCGGGCUCAACCUGGGAACUGCAUCCAAAACUGGCGAGCUAGAGUAUGGCAGAGGGUGGUGGAAUUUCCUGUGUAGCGGUGAAAUGCGUAGAUAUAGGAAGGAACACCAGUGGCGAAGGCGACCACCUGGGCUAAUACUGACACUGAGGUGCGAAAGC